GGGCUCGCGUCCUAUCAGCUUGUUGGUGGGGUAAUGGCCUACCAAGGCGUUGACGGGUAGCUGGUCUGAGAGGAUGGUCAGCCACACUGGGACUGAGACACUGCCCAGACUCCUACGGGAGGCUGCAGUCGAGAAUAUUUAGCAAUGGGCGAAAGCCUGACUAUGCGACGCCGCGUGAGGGAUGAAGGUUUUCGGAUCGUAAACCUCUUUUAUCAGGAAAUGACGGUACCUGAGGAAUAAGCCACGGCCAACUCCGUGCCAGCAGCCGCGGUAAUACGGAGGUGGCGAGCGUUACUCGGAUUCAUUGGGUGUAAAGGGCAAGUAGGCGGUCCAAUGGGUGAGGGGUGAAAUCUUCCGACUCAAUCGGAAAACUGCCUUUCAAACUAUUGGACUUGAGGUUGGAAGAGGAAAAUGGAAUUCUCAGUGUAAGGGUGAAAUCUGUGGAU
RNAcentral lists this ribosomal RNA (446 nucleotides) under uncultured bacterium. Its description in RNAcentral is "bacterial SSU rRNA". It matches the Rfam family "Bacterial small subunit ribosomal RNA", at positions 227 to 695 of the family's 1533-position model. The record is from RNAcentral.